CUCUAGAAGUAGGUAAGUAGAGAAACAGAGAAGUUCAAGUUCUCAUAAUGAACAGCAAAGUUCUUUAGCAAACAGCAGAACCUGAGUACAGCAAUCUGACUCCAGAACCUCAGUUCCUAACUGUUCCACCAUGCUGGCUUCUAUGGGUACGCAUUAGAUUGUUCCUUCCGUGAUCUCACUCGGGGGUGAGCUAUUCAGUCGGAGAAAUAGAGCUCCGGGGACAGCAACCUGAAAUCAAUCAAAAGCAUUGUGAGAACAAGAGAUUUCGAAGCAACCGGCCAGGUCUCCAGGAAGUCACUCAGGCAGGAGCUGGGGAACUGUACAAAAUGGCGACAGGGGUGGAGCAAGAGGAUCUGUGAAGGACGUGAAGCUUUGACCAGGCUGUGCGGCAGGCUGUAUUAUGAUUGGCUGGAGGCACUGUUCUGCUGCCUUCUCUGUGUCCUGUGACAUCACCUACGUGUCUCACCGUUAGCAGACUCUCUCAACCCCAGGUAAGUAGAGCUGCUGGUUGGCCAUAGCCUAGCCUCAGGAGGGUAGCUCUGAGGAGCAGCCCAUGACAGAAUUCCACUAAGGCGGAGAAAAAUUCGAACAGUACUCUUGGUGGCACUGGAGGCCCUCGGCAGCUGGUGAAAUAUCUGAGCCUUUCUUUCUGUCUAGAUCCAGGAACAGGAGGAGCCACACCCAACAGCUAUAAAGGCAGGAAGCAUCCACAAGACUGAAGCACAAAAACAUGAAAACCAAGUGUGUGUGCACAACGUUCCAACUAACCGUCAUGCAGAAGUCUGUUUCACACACAUCAGAUGGUUUGUUGCAAAAGAACCUAUCCUACAAGCGGGGAGCAGUUGCACUGCCUAAGCGUUUCACUGGAGCAGAAUCAAAGGGUGGAAACGACUAACCUCCUGAGGUCUGCAGCUGCGGAACGGAACAGUCCAUGACCCCAUCCCCACCCCACCCCAGGGCUCUGUGUGGUCAAUCCCAUCCUUUCCCUCCCUCCAAUGCUUGUUUCAGUAUUAAUCUCCCAGAAAGCAAAACUGAAACUUUGUUCUGCUCCCAGUAUGAUUAAGCAUAUCACAUGCUACAGGAAGCAACAGAAUCAAGCAAUAAAAUAAAGCUUUCUUAGAAGAACU
Molecule: long non-coding RNA, 1127 nt
Filed under: Heterocephalus glaber (naked mole-rat)
Lineage: Eukaryota; Metazoa; Chordata; Mammalia; Rodentia; Bathyergidae
Description: lncRNA (ENSHGLG00000043399.1)
Source: RNAcentral